Long non-coding RNA from Gossypium raimondii (Peruvian cotton), 290 nucleotides. RefSeq lists it as uncharacterized. The record is from RefSeq and is a predicted model, not a curated record. NCBI's taxonomy places the organism in Eukaryota, Viridiplantae, Streptophyta, Magnoliopsida, Malvales, Malvaceae. The transcript has 2 exons.
CUCACCUUAUCAUUUUACUUGCUCUACAUUCAUGCCUAGACUUAUCAGGUAUUGGCACACCUGGUUUAUCCAGGGGAUGUACAUUCUAAGUUUGAGCAUUCUCUUGGUGUGUAUUGGCUUGCGGGUGAAGCUGUCCAAAAGCUCAAAACUUAUCAGGGUUUGGAGCUUGGUAUUGAUCGAUUUGAUGUUCUAGCAAUGAAAGUUGAGCAAGUUGAUAUAAACUAGUUUGAUUUUUUUUUUAAUUUCAAAGGGAUCUUACGUAAUCAAAGGCAAUUUGACUUGUUGCAUGA